CAGUAGCCACGGUAAUACGUAGGGUGCGAGCGUUAAUCGGAAUUACUGGGCGUAAAGCGAGCGCAGGCGGUUAGAUAAGUCUGAAGUUAAAGGCUGUGGCUUAACCAUAGUACGCUUUGGAAACUGUUUAACUUGAGUGCAAGAGGGGAGAGUGGAAUUCCAUGUGUAGCGGUGAAAUGCGUAGAUAUAUGGAGGAACACCGGUGGCGAAAGCGGCUCUCUGGCUUGUAACUGACGCUGAGGCUCGAAAGUGUGGGGAGCAAACAGGAUUAGAUACCCGGGUAGUCCCUGUCUCUUAUACA
Molecule: ribosomal RNA, 301 nt
Filed under: uncultured bacterium
Lineage: Bacteria
Description: partial 16S ribosomal RNA
Rfam family: Bacterial small subunit ribosomal RNA
Source: RNAcentral